UAAAAAGCUCGUAGUUGGAUCUGUGUAUCGGACGGUCGGUUCGCCGCUCGCGGCGUUCAACUGACCGGUCCGGACGUCCUGCCGGUGGGCGCGCUCGGCCCUUCGCGGGGCCGGGCCGCCCGUUAACCUUCCCUCCGCGCUGCCUUUAACCGGGUGGUGCGGUGGGCCGGCACGUUUACUUUGAACAAAUUUGAGUGCUCAAAGCAGGCCUCGAGUCGCCUGAAAACUGUGUGCAUGGAAUAAUGGAAUAGGGCCUCUUUUCUAUUUUGUUGGCUUUUCUGAAAUAGAGGUAAUGAUUAAUAGGGACAGACGGGGGCAUUCGUAUUGCGACGUUAGAGGUGAAAUUCUUGGAUCGUCGCAAGACGGACGGAUGCGAAAGCGUUUGCCAAGAAUGUUUUCGCUAAUCAAGAACGAAAGUUAGAGGUUCGAAGGCGAUCAGAUACCGCCCUAGUUCUAACCAUAAACGAUGCCAGCCAGCGAUGCGCCGACGUUCCUCCGAUGACUCGGCGCGCAGCUUCCGGGAAACCAAAGCUUUUGGGUUCCGGGG
Molecule: ribosomal RNA, 547 nt
Filed under: Ephemerella atagosana
Lineage: Eukaryota; Metazoa; Arthropoda; Insecta; Ephemeroptera; Ephemerellidae
Also listed under: 5 other names
Description: SSU rRNA
Rfam family: Eukaryotic small subunit ribosomal RNA
Source: RNAcentral